RNAcentral lists this ribosomal RNA (497 nucleotides) under uncultured bacterium. RNAcentral's name for it is "partial 16S ribosomal RNA". It matches the Rfam family "Bacterial small subunit ribosomal RNA", at positions 28 to 507 of the family's 1533-position model. The record is from RNAcentral.
GAUGAACGCUGGCGGCGUGCCUAAUACAUGCAAGUCGAGCGAACAGAUGAGGAGCUUGCUCCUCUGACGUUAGCGGCGGACGGGUGAGUAACACGUGGAUAACCUACCUAUAAGACUGGGAUAACUUCGGGAAACCGGAGCUAAUACCGGAUAAUAUAUUGAACCGCAUGGUUCAAUAGUGAAAGACGGUUUUGCUGUCACUUAUAGAUGGAUCCGCGCCGCAUUAGCUAGUUGGUAAGGUAACGGCUUACCAAGGCAACGAUGCGUAGCCGACCUGAGAGGGUGAUCGGCCACACUGGAACUGAGACACGGUCCAGACUCCUACGGGAGGCAGCAGUAGGGAAUCUUCCGCAAUGGGCGAAAGCUUGACGGAGUAACGCCGCGUGAGUGAUGAAGGUCUUCGGAUCGUAAAACUCUGUUAUUAGGGAAGAACAAAUGUGUAAGUAACUAUGCACGUCUUGACGGUACCUAAUCAGAAAGCCACGGCUAACUACGUG